This 650-nucleotide ribosomal RNA is filed under the name uncultured bacterium. Its description in RNAcentral is "bacterial SSU rRNA". It matches the Rfam family "Bacterial small subunit ribosomal RNA", at positions 777 to 1425 of the family's 1533-position model. The record is from RNAcentral.
AUUAGAUACCCUGGUAGUCCACGCAGUAAACGAUGAAUACUAAUUGUCCGGGACGAUUGGCUCCUGGGUGAUACAGCGAAAGCGUUAAGUAUUCCAUGUGGGGAGCACGCCGGCGACGGAGAAACUCAGAGGAAUUGACGGACGCCCGCACAAGCGGAAGAACGUGUGUUUUAUUUCGAUGAUACGCGAGGAACCUUACCCGGUUCUCAAACGAUACAAGAGUACUUUUGACAGGAGUCUGCUCUCCGGAGCCUGUGUCGAGGUGCUGCAUGGGUGUCGGCCGCUCGUGGCGGGAGGAGGCGGCUUAAGUGCCAUAACGAGCGCCACCCCUAGCGUCUGGUACCAACAAGUAAAGUUGGCGACUUUGAGGAGACUGCCGGCACAAGCUGUGAGGAAGGCGGGGAUGACGUCAAAUCAUCACGCCCCUUACGUCCGGGGCGACACACGUGUUACAAUGGCAGGUACAGAGAGAAGCGAAGCGGCGACGCCGAGCGAAACUUGAAAGCCUGUCUCAGGUCGGAACGGAGUCUGCAACCUGACUCCGUGAAGCUGGAUUCUCUAAUAGUCGCGCAACAACAAUGCUGCGGUGAAUGCGUUCCCGGGUCUUGUACACACCGCCCGUCACGCCAUGGAAGCCGGGAGCGCCUGAA